AGCGAACGUUAGCGGCGCGCCUAACACAUGCAAGUCGCACGAGAGGGGGCAACCCUGAAAGUGGCGCACGGGUGCGUAACACGUAGAUAAUCUGCCCUAGAGCGGGGGAUAACGUUCCGAAAGGAGCGCUAAUACCGCAUAACGCUGCGUCCAGUUUGCUGGAUGCAGACAAAGGCUGGGACCGCAAGGCCAGUCGCUUUAGGAGGAGUCUGCGGCCCAUCAGCUAGUUGGUAAGGUAAUGGCUUACCAAGGCAAAGACGGGUAGCUGGUCUGAGAGGAUGAUCAGCCACACUGGUACUGGAACACGGACCAGACUCCUACGGGUGGCUG
Molecule: ribosomal RNA, 330 nt
Filed under: uncultured Pseudomonadota bacterium
Lineage: Bacteria; Pseudomonadati; Pseudomonadota
Description: bacterial SSU rRNA
Rfam family: Bacterial small subunit ribosomal RNA
Source: RNAcentral